ACGAUUAAGACUUCCUUCGGGGAGUGUAUAAAGUGGCGCACGGGUGAGUAACACGUAGGUAAUGUACCGUAGGGUGGGGAAUAACUUAGGGAAACUUAAGCUAAUACCGCAUAAUGCAGCGGCUCGACAUCGAGACAGUUGUUAAAGGAGCAAUCCGCCUUAUGAGCAGCCUGCGGCAGAUUAGCUAGUUGGUAAGGUAAUGGCUUACCAAGGCUACGAUCUGUAACCGACCUGAGAGGGUGGUCGGUCACACUGACACUGAAUAACGGGUCAGACUCCUACGGGAGGCAGCAGUCGGGAAUUUUGGGCAAUGGGCGAAAGCCUGACCCAGCAACGCCGCGUGAAGGAUGAAGUAUUUCGGUAUGUAAACUUCGUAAGAAUAGGAAGAAUAAAUGACGGUACUAUUUGUAAGGUCCGGCUAACUACGUGCCAGCAGCCGCGGUAAUACGUAGGGACCAAGCGUUGUUCGGAUUUACUGGGCGUAAAGGGCGCGUAGGCGGCGUGGUAAGUCAGCUGUGAAAUCUCCGAGCUUAACUCGGAACGGUCAGCUGAUACUGCUGUGCUAGAGUACAGAAGGGGCAAUCGGAAUUCUUGGUGUAGCGGUGAAAUGCGUAGAUAUCAAGAGGAACACCUGAGGUGAAGACGGGUUGCUGGGCUGAUACUGACGCUGAGGCGCGAAAGCUAGGGUAGCAAACGGGAUUAGAUACCCCGGUAGUCCUAGCCCUAAACGAUGAAUGCUUGGUGUCUGGAGUUUUAAAUCUCUGGG
This 766-nucleotide ribosomal RNA is filed under the name uncultured bacterium. RNAcentral describes it as "bacterial SSU rRNA". It matches the Rfam family "Bacterial small subunit ribosomal RNA", at positions 66 to 843 of the family's 1533-position model. The record is from RNAcentral.